UCCUACAUCCCAGCUCUACCACAAUCUGUUCCUGACAGGACCAUCCAUCUGUUUAGCCUGAACAACCCUGCAGUUGCUUAUGUGCUUAUUCACAGAUGUAAGUAGGAGGUUGACUACAGGUUUUUGGACUUAUACUUGAAUCCAAGCUAAUGUGACACAUUUGCAAGCAUAGCUGCACAUGUUCUGGUUUAAUUGGGAAAUCUCUCCCUUGACUUUCAGAAUAGCACAGAAGCAGAGACUUUAAGCCUAAACAGACCCAGAUUCAGAGCAGACCCGAUGCUGCUUGAAGAAGGCUGGAGGUAUGUUAAGGAGACAAGGGCUGUCAAGAAGCAGGGAUGUCUCUGGAAAGGGUGAGCAGCUGACGGCCUUUAUGGUUUAGUAGACACCUGUUAAUUUGUCUGCCUCGCAUUCAUUCAUCUUCCUCAUGUGAUUGGAUUAAAGAUGGAUAGAAUAUACCGUCAUGUGAUUCAGAACCAAUAGCAUUCAGUUUAUUGACUGGCAUGGUAUGAACAGGAAGAUCCAUUUAUACCUGAAGUAAGAAAAUGUAAGCCAAAUACUUCUUUGCUUAAGCAAUUUUGAGCUGAGUUGCUGUCUCUCAUAAAAGGAAGUGACUAAACUGAAACAAACGGAUUCUUGGAGAAAUCCCUAAUGUACUAUGGUGUUUUUAAACCCUUAUACUCUUAAAGUGGCAUGGGCCCAUCCCCUCACCUCUUUCCCUCAUAACACUCUUUUCUGGUUCUGAUCAUAUAAAAGAGAUAAUGGUCACUUCCUUUUUAUAAUUUUCCUUUAUGAGGUUGAAUGACAUUUACAAGUAAAAGGAUAGUAUCUCAAUCAAAUGUUACGGAUUCUAAAACUAAUCACUCGGUGCAAUUAAUCUGUGCUUAUUCUAGUGUUUGUUUGUACUGCCUCUUCCCACACCAAGUCUAUUUACUUUGUUCAUUUACCAACAUGGCUCAAAAUACAAUCAAAGCUUUAAAAAAAAUUACAGCAGAUGGAUAUCAAAUUAUAUUGCAAAAUUUAUCAAGUCAUUCGUAAGGUUACAUUAAAUAAAGAGUAGGAAAUCUUAUCUUGGCCCAUGAUUGAACUGAGAAAUGAAAUAGAUGAUAUAUUACAGAAUCAAAUCACAGGUAAUGUUCUUACAAUAGGCAAAUAAAUUAAACAAAGGAAUAAACAAAGAAAGCUGUACUAUUUGUAAAAUAUUUGAGUGUAGAGUUCAAUAUAAUUGACCUAAAUAAAGUAAUUAAUUUCAACCUCAUAAGAGGUCUGAAUUGGAUC
This is a long non-coding RNA of Sapajus apella (tufted capuchin), 1275 nucleotides long. RefSeq lists it as uncharacterized. The transcript is spliced from 4 exons. Lineage: Eukaryota; Metazoa; Chordata; Mammalia; Primates; Cebidae. The record is from RefSeq and is a predicted model, not a curated record.